AUUGAACGCUGGCGGAAUGCUUUACACAUGCAAGUCGAACGGCAGCACGGGGGCAACCCUGGUGGCGAGUGGCGAACGGGUGAGUAAUACAUCGGAACGUGCCCAGUCGUGGGGGAUAACGUAGCGAAAGUUACGCUAAUACCGCAUACGAUCUACGGAUGAAAGCGGGGGACCGUAAGGCCUCGCGCGAUUGGAGCGGCCGAUGUCAGAUUAGGUAGUUGGUGAGGUAAAGGCUCACCAAGCCGACGAUCUGUAGCUGGUCUGAGAGGACGACCAGCCACACUGGGACUGAGACACGGCGCAGACUCCUACGGGAGGCAGCAGUGGGGAAUUUUGGACAAUGGGCGCAAGCCUGAUCCAGCCAUUCCGCGUGCAGGACGAAGGCCUUCGGGUUGUAAACUGCUUUUGUACGGAACGAAAAGGCUCUGGUUAAUACCUGGGGCUCAUGACGGUACCGUAAGAAUAAGCACCGGCUAACUACGUGCCAGCAGCCGCUGUAA
Molecule: ribosomal RNA, 500 nt
Filed under: uncultured bacterium
Lineage: Bacteria
Description: partial 16S ribosomal RNA
Rfam family: Bacterial small subunit ribosomal RNA
Source: RNAcentral